Molecule: long non-coding RNA, 1450 nt
Organism: Raphanus sativus (radish)
Lineage: Eukaryota; Viridiplantae; Streptophyta; Magnoliopsida; Brassicales; Brassicaceae
Exons: 6
Source: RefSeq, a predicted model, not a curated record
UGGGCCAGAUAAUAAUUGUUUAUAAUUUUGUACUCAAAACUAUUAAAAUGGGCUUUGUUUAAAGAGAUAAAAGUUAAAAAAAACCCGAAAAAUAAAUUGGCUCAAACCAAGUUGACUUUUAGCAAUACAAUCCAAAUUUUUUUUCCUUGUUUCAGACACAUUUGCUUUAAAAAAAAAAAGAAAUACACUCUCUUAUGGCGAUUGAAGAAAUGGAAUUGGGUCUUAACGAAUUGACUCAUCGUCAUCUCCAAGAUCCGAUGAAAUCGAAGCCGAUCUGAUGCAGUCAUAUAAAGGUAUUGGUGUGAUAGUUCGAUUUGGUGUUCAACAUAUCAAAACUCCAAAGUAUACUUAAAUACAAAAAACAACAAAACUCUCUCUCAAAAGUAGAUUCAUCUUUGGUAGAGAGAAGAAGAAGGCGAUCUCUGACCGAAGGACUUAUUCUGAUCCUUAAAGGUGUGGAUGCCUUUGACUUCAAUCAACCAAGUUUUUCUCCACAGCCUAAUCUUAUCAAGGUUUGGAUGCAAAUCGUUUGGGCCUACAUUAAACAUUGGGCCAUUUAAAAAACGUUGACACAAAACAUGUUGGACGUAAUUCACGUAAAUACCCUUUUUUAUUCUACGAAAUGUAAGGAAUCAUUGUAAAGAUUGGACAUGUUUAGGUAAAAAGGACAAUAGGAUCCUGCUUUAAUAGUAUAGAUUGGGUAAAAAAUUAGAUGAGCACAAGGACCACAAAUUAUUUGAGCCGGGCCUGCCAUGUAUCAACUUGCCAUUUGUAGAAACUUGCCCUUGCUCUUCAAGCCAAAACUUUUGACCCCUUGGUGGCCAAGCCAGAAAAGUAUAUAUUUCAUUAUCUUUUGUUGACUUUUGAAAUUUGAAUACAAACAAAAUCCAUUUGUUUUUUUUUUGUUUAAUUAUUAUAGGGUAAGACAUUCGAACUUGCUUAAAACAGUUUCUUUUCAAAAAAUAACAUAAACCUUGAGGCUUAUAAAAAGCCAUGUUGUGGAUGUGAUAUGAUUAUGUGUUAUUCAGAUAGCAAAAGGCAGGAUUCCUUCUGCCCCCGGGGCGUUGGAUCAAUCGCAUCGUCUCAUUUGAACUCGUAAACACCGCAUGUAAACAUAAACCUUACUGAUACUCUUUGCAUGAGUGCGCUUGCUUGGUGAAGGAGCGACACAGAAGGAGGAGCAGGGUACCUCAAACCCGAAGACGAGCAGUUCUAAGACUUGACAUUGUUUAUGAAGAGUUGCACAAAAGAGCGAGGAGAAAAUGAAGCUGGGAGACAGGAGUUUCUUUCAAGUACGGGUGUUUUAAUUUUUGUUUUUUUAAUAAGCUCUAUGAGCAUAAUCUGGGAAUGGGUAGUUUUUUGUCUUUUGUUUCUUUUUAUUGAGGUUUAUGUAUGAUGGAAGUGGUGUUAUGUUGCUCGUAACAUGGAAUAAACUUCUGCUUUUGGAUUA